Long non-coding RNA from Pongo pygmaeus (Bornean orangutan), 568 nucleotides. RefSeq lists it as uncharacterized. The transcript has 6 exons. The record is from RefSeq and is a predicted model, not a curated record. Lineage: Eukaryota; Metazoa; Chordata; Mammalia; Primates; Hominidae.
GGCUCUCAAGCAAGGUCCACUUGCAGUGAAAUAAACCAGAGGUUUGAAUCAUGCCUCGAUAUGAAAUCAUUGGAAAGAAUAUGGCGAUGACAUCCACAAUGCCAGAUAAAGAAAAUACUUAGAAAAUGAGAUUCCUGUGUUUCUGGCUUUCAUAACUUUUUAGACUUCCUUUCUACUGGAAAACUUUUAACUUUGAAAACCACAAGUAAUAUUUUUCUUCCUGAAACCUCUGCAGUGGUAGCAAUGCAUUGAAGUUUGAUUAAAAGUUUACUGGUCAUUCCUGCCAUGAGAAGAUGAUAGAGAAUAUCACCACAGUGUGGCUUUCUUCUAAGGCAGCAUGAUUUCAUGCAGAGGAUCUAAACUGGGGACCAUGUGCUGGGCUGCAAAAGGGCUGUGCAGUGCCUAAAAUGUUAUGCAAAAUUUUAUAAAGGUAGGUCAUGUAUUGCUCCAUUGAUGCUGCCCUUAUUCAUGAUGAUUAAAGCCUUUGGGAGGUAUUCCUUCAGAACAAUGGACAACUUUGAUAAGUACUGGUAAGAAAAUAAGCAGAAACUCUAAAUUUGAAGUCUUC